This 497-nucleotide ribosomal RNA is filed under the name uncultured bacterium. RNAcentral describes it as "partial 16S ribosomal RNA". It matches the Rfam family "Bacterial small subunit ribosomal RNA", at positions 28 to 507 of the family's 1533-position model. The record is from RNAcentral.
GAUGAACGCUGGCGGCGUGCCUAAUACAUGCAAGUCGAGCGAACAGACGAGGAGCUUGCUCCUCUUACGUUAGCGGCGGACGGGUGAGUAACACGUGGAUAACCUACCUAUAAGACUGGGAUAACUUCGGGAAACCGGAGCUAAUACCGGAUAAUAUAUUGAACCGCAUGGUUCAAUAGUGAAAGACGGUUUUGCUGUCACUUAUAGACGGAUCCGCGCCGCAUUAGCUAGUUGGUAAGGUAACGGCUUACCAAGGGAACGAUGCGUAGCCGACCUGAGAGGGUGAUCGGCCACCCUGGAACUGAGACACGGUCCAGACUCCUGCGGGAGGCAGCAGUAGGGAAUCUUCCGCAAUGGGCGAAAGCCUGACGGAGCAACGCCGCGUGAGUGAUGAAGGUCUUCGGAUCGUAAAACUCUGUUAUUAGGGAAGAACAAAUGUGUAAGUAACUAUGCACGUCUUGACGGUACCUAAUCAGAAAGCCCCGGCUAACUACGUG